AUGGAGUUUGUAGUGGGUGCUUCAGAAGCCACCAUGAGGUCUCUCCUAGGCAAGUUGGGCAGCCUCCUUGCCCAAGAGUACACUCUGAUCCGUGGCGUCCGCGGUGACAUCCAAUACAUCAGUGAUGAGCUCGCCAGCAUGCAGGCUUUUCUUGGCGACCUCGGCUCUGCCCUGGACAACCAUGAUCGCCGGCUCAAGAACUGGAUGAAGCAGAUCCAUGACAUGGCAUAUGACAUGGAAGACUGCAUCGAUGACUUUGCUCAUCGCCUCCCUCGGGACUCCCUCAGCGACGUAAGAUGUUCCUUCCUGGUGAUGGCAGUCUAUGAGGUGUGGACAUUCAGGCCUCGCCGCGACAUUGCUUCCAAGAUUGCCGAGCUCAAGGUCCGAGCACAAUACAUUGCUGAGCGGCGCAACAGAUAUGGAGUGGACAACCCAAACACAAGAACAAGCUCCCAAGCCGGAGCAACCCAUGCUAUUACGUAUGGCAUUGCUGAGCAUUUGGCAGCGAGCCGUCAGCUCAUCCGCACAGAGGACCCCGUGGGAGUGAAGAUGGACAUGGAGAAGCUCCGAGGUUCGCUAACCAAACAUGAUAAAGGCUCUCAUCGAGCUGGUGUGUCCUUGAUUGGAUUUGGUGGUGUGGGAAAGACCACCAUUGCCAUGGCACUGUACCGAGAUUUCAGGAAUGAAUUUGAUUGCCGGGCGUCAGUCAAGGUGUCUCAGAACUUCGAUGAAGAUGAAAUCCUCCGGGAUGUUCUUGGGCAAAUCAAACCAGCAAACAGUCAAAUCAAGCCAAAGGAGGAGGGGCAGGAGGGAAACAACAUAGGGAAGUUGAAGAAGAAAAACCUACUGGUAGACAUGAAAAGCUCAGUGAAGCAAGUUGUGCCACUGCUCUUUGGUCACAGGCCGCAAAGCAAUGAUGGCAGCAUGCAGAGUAAGAUAGAAACAAUGAAUCGUGACCAACUUAUCGAAGAACUCAAAAAACGCCUGCUUGGAAGGAUGUAUCUCCUGUUGAUUGAUGAUAUAUGGUCCGUAGAAACAUGGGAGACCAUUAGAAAUUGGUUACCACAUGAUAAUACAAAUGGUAGUAGAGUAAUAGUAACUACAAGAUUUCAAGUUGUUGGUGCAGCGUGCUCAGAAAGAGAUGGAACUGAUUAUGUCCAUACAGUUAAUGUUCUCAGUGAUGCUGACUCCAAAAGCCUAUUUCGUCAGAGUAUUUCUGAAUCCCCAAGCAGGAAAGAAGAAGAGGUCCAUGAGGAGAUAUGGAAAUACUGUGGGGGGCUGCCAUUGGCCAUAGUCACCAUGGCUGGCCUUGUUGCCUGCAACCCCAAAAAAAAAGAGUGA
This 1341-nucleotide ribosomal RNA is filed under the name Triticum aestivum (bread wheat). RNAcentral's name for it is "partial small subunit ribosomal RNA". The record is from RNAcentral. Lineage: Eukaryota; Viridiplantae; Streptophyta; Magnoliopsida; Poales; Poaceae.